RNAcentral lists this ribosomal RNA (274 nucleotides) under uncultured bacterium. RNAcentral's name for it is "partial 16S ribosomal RNA". It matches the Rfam family "Archaeal small subunit ribosomal RNA", at positions 473 to 747 of the family's 1478-position model. The record is from RNAcentral.
AAACCAGCACCUCAAGUGGUCAGGAUGAUUAUUGGGCCUAAAGCAUCCGUAGCCGGCUUUGUAAGUUUUCGGUUAAAUCUGUACGCUUAACGUACAGGCUGCUGGGAAUACUGCAGAGCUAGGGAGUGGGAGAGGUAGACGGUACUCGGGAGGAAGUGGUAAAAUGCUUUGAUCUCUCGAUGACCACCUGUGGCGAAGGCGGUCUACCAGAACACGUUCGACGGUGAGGGAUGAAAGCUGGGGGAGCAAACCGGAUUAGAUACCCGAGUAGUCC